GAUGAACGCUGGCGGCGUACCUAAUACAUGCAAGUCGAGCGAACAGACGAGGAGCUUGCUCCUCUGACGUUAGCGGCGGACGGGUGAGUAACACGUGGAUAACCUACCUAUAAGACUGGGAUAACUUCGGGAAACCGGAGCUAAUACCGGAUAAUAUAUUGAACCGCAUGGUUCAAUAGUGAAAGACGGUUUUGCUGUCACUUAUAGAUGGAUCCGCGCCGCAUUAGCUAGUUGGUAAGGUAACGGCUUACCAAGGCGACGAUGCGUAGCCGACCUGAGAGGGUGAUCGGCCACACUGGAACUGAGUCACGGUCCAGACUCCUACGGGAGGCAGCAGUAGGGAAUCUUCCGCAAUGGGCGAAAGCCUGACGGAGCAACGCCGCGUGAGUGAUGAAGGUCUUCGGAUCGUAAAACUCUGUUAUUAGGGAAGAACAAAUGUGUAAGUAACUAUGCACGUCUUGACGGUACCUAAUCAGAAAGCCACGGCUAACUACGUG
Molecule: ribosomal RNA, 497 nt
Filed under: uncultured bacterium
Lineage: Bacteria
Description: partial 16S ribosomal RNA
Rfam family: Bacterial small subunit ribosomal RNA
Source: RNAcentral